GCCUCACUGGUUUAGUCGGUUAAGUGUCCGACUUCGGUUCAGAUCGUGAUCUCGCGGUUCGUGGGUUCGAGCCCCAUGUUGGGCU
RNAcentral lists this transfer RNA (85 nucleotides) under Felis catus (domestic cat). It matches the Rfam family "tRNA". Rfam says of the family: Transfer RNA (tRNA) molecules are approximately 80 nucleotides in length. Their secondary structure includes four short double-helical elements and three loops (D, anti-codon, and T loops). Lineage: Eukaryota; Metazoa; Chordata; Mammalia; Carnivora; Felidae. The record is from Rfam by way of RNAcentral.